Molecule: transfer RNA, 89 nt
Filed under: Caldifarciminota bacterium JGI_Cruoil_03_44_89
Lineage: Bacteria; Pseudomonadati; Caldifarciminota
Description: tRNA-Ser
Rfam family: tRNA
About the family: Transfer RNA (tRNA) molecules are approximately 80 nucleotides in length. Their secondary structure includes four short double-helical elements and three loops (D, anti-codon, and T loops).
Source: RNAcentral
GGAGAGGUGGCCGAGAGGCUGAAGGCAACCGAUUGCUAAUCGGUUUUCUGCUGAAAGGUGGAACGUGGGUUCGAAUCCCACCCUCUCCG